Long non-coding RNA from Daucus carota subsp. sativus, 970 nucleotides. RefSeq lists it as uncharacterized. The record is from RefSeq and is a predicted model, not a curated record. The transcript is spliced from 4 exons. NCBI's taxonomy places the organism in Eukaryota, Viridiplantae, Streptophyta, Magnoliopsida, Apiales, Apiaceae.
AUUAUUAAUUGCAUACCCGACCCACCCAAUUCUGUUCAAGUAGUAAAAACAGUAAGCGGGCCUGACAUCGGCGCCAAACAUCUUCGCGGGAAACCUAAACCUCGUCAAAUACUUCUGAAUGUUAUGCGGGCAAUUGUUUCCACUUUCGUACUCGCGGCCUGUCUGAAUUCUUGAUUGUUCAAUCUUCCGAGCGUUUGAGUAAGAAGGCUGUCACAGUUUUUUGUGUUUGAGGUGGAAAACCAUACCUUGAAAACCUGACAUUGGUAGAAGAAAUAGUUGCUUAUGAUGUGAAAUCAUAUUAGUCAUUACUUUCAUUGUCUUUGUUUCAGGCAUUAGCUUCUGCGGCAUUACUCAUUAGAUAUGUUUCGGUCUUUGUGAUUCAUACUGAUGAAUAUUGUAUCCCAUUAUUCAAUCCAAUUAAGGCUGUCACAGUUUUUUGUGUUUGAGGUGGAAAACCAUACCUUGAAAACCUGACAUUGGUAGAAGAAAUAGUUGCUUAUGAUGUGAAAUCAAAUGUGUUUCAUGAAACUUCUCCACCUCUUUCCUCUCAGCUCGAUGGGCUUUUUGAUGACCUCCACUCUCCACAGGAUUGAGCUGAACAAAAUGUUGUGAACUAUGAAUUACAGGAGAUCCUUUGCUCUGUUCUAAGAGUAACCUUUGAGGCCAGGCCUACAAAUCCGCGGUGAAACAAAGACUCAACUGCAAACUAGCUAGAUCAAUUGAAAAGGAAGAAUUUGCAAGACGCAGUUAUACAGGCGUAAUAUCGUUAUUUCUGCUGAGUUGUAUCAGUAUGAAUAUCCCUGCUGAGUUCUAUACGUAUGAAUACCUAUUUCUGUUUGUAUUUCUUUCUGUACGUUCGAGUUGACUAGAAGAUCAUUAUGAUCUUGAUUGAACUUUGCACGCCCGGUGGAUCUUUUUAUGAUCUUAUUUGUAUUAUAUUAAGUUGAUCAACGUUAUUUUUUAGUACAAA